Jatropha curcas is the source of this 657-nucleotide RNA transcript. It is a transcript of the gene named ribonucleases P/MRP protein subunit POP1, with no coding region annotated. The record is from RefSeq and is a predicted model, not a curated record. NCBI's taxonomy places the organism in Eukaryota, Viridiplantae, Streptophyta, Magnoliopsida, Malpighiales, Euphorbiaceae.
AUGGUCGGUGAUAGAAGAAAAAGAAGUGAUGCUUCAAUAAUUCCGCCUCGAAAAGUCAAUGUGCAGAAAUUCACAGAAUCCCAUUAUUCUGCGCUCGAGACUUUUCACUCUAUCAUCUCAGACCGAUUGAACGAUGAUUUCCGAUCUCGAAGAAACAUGAGAAGAAGAACCACUGCCUAUGACAAUCUAGUUAAGAAGAAACGUAGAAAAAGGAAAAAAUUAGUGGAUUUCGAGAAAGUCAAGGAAAGAGUUCCUCCUCGCUGUCUUCAUCGAAGGGUUGAACUUAGAAAGAACCCUGAAAGUGUUUUCUCUACUUCAGGGGAUGGGACUAAGGGAAUGAAGACUCAUGUUUGGCAUGCGAAAAGUUUCGCUAUGACAAAGCUGUGGGGUUUUCACCUUCCUUUAGGUUUGUAGGGCAGAGGAAGAGGUUAUAGGGCUUUACUGAGGUGGUACAUGCAUGGAACACUUAUGCAUGAUGCUAGCUAUUAUAUUGCUAUGCAGUUGAAGGGUCCAGAGGAGUCAUUAAUGUCAGUAGUAAGAAUGGUGUUGGAACCUUCUCCAUCUGCUCAUUCUGACGAAGUUACCAAUGCUAUUCUUUCUUGUGUUACUUAUUGGACUGUCAUGGUAGUUUACUCACUGCAAUUCUUUCUGGUCUGA